RNAcentral lists this non-coding RNA (108 nucleotides) under Prolemur simus (greater bamboo lemur). Lineage: Eukaryota; Metazoa; Chordata; Mammalia; Primates; Lemuridae. The record is from RNAcentral.
GUGUUGUAUGAAAGGAGAAAAAAGAGCACUCUUGACAAGAAGGGAAGAGGCCCUUAGGCAUGACAACACACAUACAGGUCAGGCACUGCUACCCACCCAUCAUCUUCA